This 482-nucleotide long non-coding RNA is filed under the name Linum usitatissimum (flax). RNAcentral describes it as "long non-coding RNA (LUSI_LNC003991)". Lineage: Eukaryota; Viridiplantae; Streptophyta; Magnoliopsida; Malpighiales; Linaceae. The record is from RNAcentral.
AAGAAAUUACAGAGAGAGAAGAAUUAGAAGGAAACAAAGGGAGAGACAUUGAAAAUAACAGCCAACAUACANNNNNNNNNNNAAAAAAAAAAAAAAACCCAGCCAACAAAACUCUCCCCCACACCCAUCUUUCUUCUUCUUCUUCCCCCAAAUGACCUUUUCUUUGCCUCGCUACCACCGAGCACCCUCCCAUUCCUCCUCCCUCUCCAUCACCACUUUCACUUCCAUCCUCCUCCGCCAUUCUUCUUCUUCUUAACCGACGGAUCAUUUCCUUUCUCCCCCCCCCCCCCCUUUUUUUCCCCCGAUUCCCUUCUCUGUCCCUCCUGCUCCCGGGAAACCUAGAUUUCUCUAUAUCCCCAAACCCAAAACCCCAGCCUCCAGACCCUGAAACAUCUCCUCUAUUAUCUCUUCUGAGCCGAUAAAAAAUACAUGGAUUCCGAUCAGGGGAAGCUUUUCGUCGGCGGGGGUUCCUGGGAGACGAC